ACUUCACUGGCAAUAUUUAACUGAAUUGUGACUCUCAAUGUUCAAUAUCCUUCUUUCCACCCUCACGCCAUCGCAUAAGAUAACCCUCAAGGUACAGAGACAGUUACUGUAACCAUUUGCUUUUUAUUCUCCCAUCUCACUCCCUCAGCUAAAUGAGCUUAAUCUUCUCCAUUUGGGUAGCACUUCAGAAAAGCUGAUUUUGGACAGGAAAAAACUCAGGAGAACUACUUCUCUGAGUCACGGAAUCAGUAGCGAGUUGAUUCUAAUGCCAUAUGCCUGCAUCCUGACUUUACUUAACCUACACCUUCACCUAGGUUCUUUACUGACUUUUUUUUUUUAACCAGAAUUUUUCUCUGUGUACCAGUAUCAUGGUAUCCAUAUUAUGAUCUGUACCACUGACCACUAUUUUGGCUACAUCUCAGACCUGCUCUUUGCUUGGCCAGUUGUAUAAAGUUAGCCUGUGUAUCCACCUUUUGCCUCUUUAUGUUGCCCACUUUCCUGCCUCUUUUAUCUUAAGAAGCUACUGACCAGUUCUAUGUUGCUGAACUUGUGAUUUGGUUUCCUCUUCUGCCCUGAAAAUACCUAUCAGCCCUGUCCUCAUGCUUCUCAAGUCUCAGCUUGACAUAAUCUGUAGGUUGUUUUAGUGUAUAGUGCUUAGGUUGCUGGGUGAGUUGGUGAUAGGAACUGAAUUGUAUCUCUCUCCAAAUUCAUAUGCGGAAGCCCUAACCCCCAAUGUGACUGUCCUUGAAGAAAGGGCCAGGUUAAGUGAGGUCAUAAGGAUGGAACCGUAAUUCAAUAGCACUGAGGGAUGUGCUUGCAAGAAAAGGAAGAGACAUCACGGAUGCACAAGCACAAAGAAAAGGCCAUGUGAGGACACAGUGAGAAGGCAGCCAUCUGCAAGCCAAAGAGAGAAGCCUCAGAGAAAACAAACCUGUCAGCACCUUGAUCUGGAAACUCCAGCCUCCAGAGCUGUGAAGAAAUAAAUUUCUGUUGUUCAAGCCACUCCAUCUGUGAUUUUUAUAUGGCAGCCCUGGCAGACUGAUACAGUUGCAAUGAAGAAUAAUUGGGGAUGUUUACAUCUACCCAAGAAGAAUAAUUCGAUUUAUACUGGAUUACCUAUAUAUUGAGUUUCCUAAGUUACAUGCAGUCAAACUUCCGAACUUUGUUGUUUAGCUUUUGUUUGUCUGUGUGCACUUAGUUAUGCAAUGCUAAAUAAUGAUGAUAUGUCAUCUUAGAGAUAUAGCUUUAGUGUACUUGUUCUCUGAAGUGGAUAUUUAUGUCUGAUAUAAUAUCACAGAACCAUCUGAAGAAAUGGGUCCUGAGAGACAGCCAAUAAAAUAUAUAUAUUGCUGAAAC
Molecule: long non-coding RNA, 1356 nt
Filed under: Homo sapiens (human)
Lineage: Eukaryota; Metazoa; Chordata; Mammalia; Primates; Hominidae
Description: HSALNT0041732
Source: RNAcentral